RNAcentral lists this ribosomal RNA (451 nucleotides) under uncultured Curvibacter sp. RNAcentral describes it as "bacterial SSU rRNA". It matches the Rfam family "Bacterial small subunit ribosomal RNA", at positions 924 to 1382 of the family's 1533-position model. The record is from RNAcentral. Lineage: Bacteria; Pseudomonadati; Pseudomonadota; Betaproteobacteria; Burkholderiales; Comamonadaceae.
CACAAGCGGUGGAUGAUGUGGUUAAUUCGAUGCAACGCGAAAACCUUACCACCUUUGACAUGUACGGAAGUUGCCAGAGAUGGCUUCGUGCUCGAAAGAGAGCCGUAACACAGGUGCUGCAUGGCUGUCGUCAGCUCGUGUCGUGAGAUGUUGGGUUAAGUCCCGCAACGAGCGCAACCCUUGUCAUUAGUUGCUACGAAAGGGCACUCUAAUGAGACUGCCGGUGACAAACCGGAGGAAGGUGGGGAUGACGUCAAGUCCUCAUGGCCCUUAUAGGUGGGGCUACACACGUCAUACAAUGGCUGGUACAAAGGGUUGCCAACCCGCGAGGGGGAGCCAAUCCCAUAAAGCCAGUCGUAGUCCGGAUCGCAGUCUGCAACUCGACUGCGUGAAGUCGGAAUCGCUAGUAAUCGUGGAUCAGCAUGUCACGGUGAAUACGUUCCCGGGUCUU